RNAcentral lists this transfer RNA (87 nucleotides) under Candidatus Peribacteria bacterium. RNAcentral's name for it is "tRNA-Leu". It matches the Rfam family "tRNA". From Rfam's summary of the family: Transfer RNA (tRNA) molecules are approximately 80 nucleotides in length. Their secondary structure includes four short double-helical elements and three loops (D, anti-codon, and T loops). Further hydrogen bonds mediate the characteristic L-shaped molecular structure. tRNAs have two regions of fundamental functional importance: the anti-codon, which is responsible for specific mRNA codon recognition, and the 3' end, to which the tRNAs corresponding amino acid is attached (by aminoacyl-tRNA synthetases). tRNAs cope with the degeneracy of the genetic code in two manners: having more than one tRNA (with a specific anti-codon) for a particular amino acid; and 'wobble' base-pairing, i.e. permitting non-standard base-pairing at the 3rd anti-codon position. The record is from RNAcentral. Lineage: Bacteria; Candidatus Peregrinibacteriota; Candidatus Peribacteria.
GCCUGAGUGAUGGAAUUGGUAGACAUGCUAGACUCAAAAUCUGGUGUUCGCAAGAACGUGUGGGUUCAAGUCCCACCUCAGGUACCA